This 1043-nucleotide long non-coding RNA is filed under the name Vitis vinifera (wine grape). RNAcentral describes it as "long non-coding RNA (VVIN_LNC007253)". The record is from RNAcentral. Lineage: Eukaryota; Viridiplantae; Streptophyta; Magnoliopsida; Vitales; Vitaceae.
UUAUAGUUAUCUUAUAAUUAUUUUUCCUCGGUAUUUUCUUAGAACCAUACAUAUGGUUAGUAAAUAAAACAAAAAAAAUACUUAUAGCAUCAAUUAGAAAAGUUUUUAAACACUAACAAUGACUUUUACGAGUAAUAUGCUCCGCCGCAACUCGGGCUAGUCCACGUUGCCCAACCCAUGACUAGGAUGAGCAAAGUUUGAAUGAGUUAAGGUGGAAUUUGAGUUAGAAAAAUACAAACCUAAAAAUGUUAGUAUUGGCAUGGGUUGAAAAUGUGGGUAAUUCGCCAAAAUCCGAACGUCCAAGUUAUUAUUUACUUAUUUAUUUAUAAUUACAUUAUAUAUUGUCUUAUUUAAAUAUACAAAACAUAUUAAAAGGACUCUCAACAUUUUUUGCUUUUUAGUUAUAUUAUAUUACUUUUUAAUUAUAUUAUAUUAAUGAGUUUAUUAUUCUUCUUUAAUAAUUAAAACAUCUUUUGAUAGUUGAAAUUUGAGUUUAUGAAUCUUAAUUUACAUUAAAUUCAUAGUAAUGAUUUAUUUGAUAACUUUGAGAUACUUAGCUUUAAUAUAGUUAUUUUAUUUGAUAACACGAAGACCAUAAAAACUCAAAUUGUCUAUGGGUUAGAUGGGGUUUAAAAAUUCUCAACUUGAUCAUGAUCUUAGGAAAUAUUCCCAACACGAUUUCAUAAAUAGCAAUGAUAUGCUAAAUAUUCGUCUAUUUAAAUUGGUACGACUUAAAAAAGGUAUACUUAAGAGUGCAAGCCCAUUUCAAAGUAAUUUUAAUUAAUCCACUUUAAAAUGAUCUUAUAAAUAAAACACUUAAUAAAGUAAAUUUGGUUAAAGUUAACACCUUCAUUAAUAAGGCUGCCACUAAAAAUAUUUCUAAGGAUAAUCACUUGAUAUUUGAAAAACUCGACCUUUGCUUCCCCCCAAAUAAGUAUGAAAACAAAGAUGCCUUCAAACAAACAAGCGUUAAGCGAUGAAAUGAGACACCCUACAAUUACUUUUUAACUGCUUUACUAAAAUCAUUUUCAAUGAGACCUCCG